Molecule: long non-coding RNA, 623 nt
Filed under: Gossypium raimondii (Peruvian cotton)
Lineage: Eukaryota; Viridiplantae; Streptophyta; Magnoliopsida; Malvales; Malvaceae
Description: long non-coding RNA (GRAI_LNC010302)
Source: RNAcentral
GAGAAUAAUAUAAAUUAGGAUUGUAUUAAGUGAACGGAUUUAACUCAACGGAAUCAAGGAUAUCAUAUGAGGAUUUGAUGCCAUAACCUUUGCAACAAACAUGUCAACCUGUCAGAAGAUAACGUUCAUGGUCUGAACCAGCCAUCUGUUAUUGUACCCGAAAUUAAGAAUCAAAAUUAUUCGUUACAAUAAGAGCGCAGGGAGGACCCCAACUAAUGUCUAAACUAGCGAAAUCGAUAGAGCAACAUACACCCAAAGCCUGAAGCUUCUGCAUAUAGCUAAGAAUACAUAUAACAAUUACAUUACUCAUUUGUCUUACUCUUUCAUGAUAAAAUUUAUUCUGAGCAUGCCAUAAAGCCCAUGUUGUUAAGAGGACGAGUAUACACACCUUGGAACCAUUAAUCUCCAACAAAGAGGAUAACCAGACACCCAACUCACACUGGUUUUGAUCUAUAGGCUACUGUAUGUCGAGACAAGACCAAACAAUCCUGGUCACCCCACAAUCCCGAAAGGCAUGAGCUCCAGAUUCAAUAUCAAGUUGGCAUACUGGACAAACAGCAGUAGAAGCAAUCUGCCUAUUGUAAAGAUUUUGCAUUGUAGGAAUGUGAUUAUUUAAAAAUCAC